This is a long non-coding RNA of Sinocyclocheilus grahami, 567 nucleotides long. RefSeq lists it as uncharacterized. The transcript has 5 exons. NCBI's taxonomy places the organism in Eukaryota, Metazoa, Chordata, Actinopteri, Cypriniformes, Cyprinidae. The record is from RefSeq and is a predicted model, not a curated record.
CCUGAGUCUGAUUCAGUGCAAGAGAUCCAAGUCGAAGCUCAAGGGAAAAACACUCAAAUGAUUGAAAAGAGAAAAGUCAAAUUCAUGUCAUAUAAUCCACUUACAAUAAUUCAAACAGAUAAACAAAUCUACAAUCCUGGACAAACUGUUCAGGUCAGGAUUUUCACAGUGGACCUAAAUUUUAAACCAGUUGAUGAAACAUACAAACUCAUAACAGUGCAGGACAAUCGAAUGAACAGAAUCAAUCAGUGGAUUAAUGCCACAUCAACCCAUGGCUAGAUUCUGCAACUUUCACAUACGCUGAAUCCAGAGGCUGCUGUUGGUUCAUAUGAGCUUUUUGUAGAGACUAGCAAGCAAACAAUUACCAAAAAAAUUUAUGUCAAGGAGUAUGCUCCUCCAGCUGAACCUCCUCGACCCAUUGGACCCAAUGGACUCAAUGGACCUAAUGGACCCAUUGGACCCAUUGGACCCAUUGGACCUGGUGGACCCGGCAUACCUACAACUCCUGGCUUGGCAUCUGGAUAUGCUUGAGGGCAACCAAAAUCCAUAAAACCAUGGCCUGGAAUU